This 553-nucleotide ribosomal RNA is filed under the name uncultured bacterium. Its description in RNAcentral is "bacterial SSU rRNA". It matches the Rfam family "Bacterial small subunit ribosomal RNA", at positions 8 to 573 of the family's 1533-position model. The record is from RNAcentral.
AGAGUUUGAUCAUGGCUCAGGACGAACGCUGGCGGCGUGCCUAACACAUGCAAGUCACGGGGGCCCGCAAGGGUAACCGGCGAACGGGUGCGUAACACGUGAGCAAUCUGCCGAUUUCUGGGGGAUAGCCGGUCCAACGACCGGGUAAUACCGCAUACGCUCAUUGGGGGGCAUUCCCCGAUGAGGAAACCUCCGGGGGAAAUCGAGGAGCUCGCGGCCUAUCAGCUAGUUGGUGAGGUAACGGCUCACCAAGGCGACGACGGGUAGCUGGUCUGAGAGGAUUGCCAGCCACAUUGGGACUGCGACACGGCCCAGACUCCUACGGGAGGCAGCAGUGGGGAAUAUUGCGCAAUGGACGAAAGUCUGACGCAGCGACGCCGCGUGUGGGAUGAAGCUUUUCGGAGUGUAAACCACUGUUGCUCGGGACGAACCUCCCCUUUCGAGGGGACUGACGGUACCGAAUGAGGAAGCACCGGCUAACUCUGUGCCAGCAGCCGCGGUAAUACAGAGGGUGCGAGCGUUGUCCGGAAUCACUGGGCGUAAAGGGCGCGUA